CUUAAAGCCUUCAUUAACAAACACUCGUAUAAGCUGGCUAAUAGGUUUGUGUAUUGAAGAUUUAAGUAUUUAAUGUUUGCCCAUGCAUAUCAUCACUGUGGCUAUAUCUCUGUAGACAUUUCAUUGAACAAAGUACAGAUAUGCUCAUGAAUGUUCAGCUACUACUCAGGUGCGUCAGAUCGGAGAUAUAUCAUGCUAUGAGUAAAGAUAUAUUCACAUGAUCAUGAUCCCAUCAUAGCACAAUCUUGCUUGACAGAUCAAAGUUCAGUUCAGAGAAUGCAUCAGAUAUUCAGAUUGGAUAGCACGGUCCUGAAACAGAAUAGCACACAAACAAGCAGAUUUCAGUACAGAAGCAGGAUAAAAUUGGGGUGGCCCAGGCGCCCAGCGGAGGCCAUUCGAAGCCGGCGCCGAUGAAGUCGCUGGAGAGCAGCGACCUUUUCGUUGUCCAUUGCACCUCCGGCCCGAAGGCUCCUUCCUCUCCUCCCCGCCGGCCUCUCCUCUAAUGCCUCAAUGGCGACCAAGCGCCCCAGAUUCCGGCGGGAUUGGGACUGCGGAGCCAUCUCGCUGGGCCGGGGGCGCCGAUGGCGGGUCUGGCGGCAAGGGUUCGGAGGUGGCGAUUGGGGACGAUUUGGGCAUGAAAUUGGGGGCUUUUUGCUUCAGUUUUAUGUGCGUGGAGUCGAUUUGAGCGAAGGCGAUAAGCGCGUGAGGAAGGUGUGGUGGAGCACGGGAUCGCGAGGAGGAAGAAGCGCCUGUUCGUCGCUCGCAGCGGGUAAAAGCGAGCGUUAUCUUCUCGUAUCUUACGCUUCAGCCGGGCGACUCCUCAGGCUG
RNAcentral lists this long non-coding RNA (828 nucleotides) under Setaria italica (foxtail millet). RNAcentral describes it as "long non-coding RNA (SITA_LNC003187)". Lineage: Eukaryota; Viridiplantae; Streptophyta; Magnoliopsida; Poales; Poaceae. The record is from RNAcentral.